Molecule: long non-coding RNA, 427 nt
Organism: Phyllostomus hastatus (greater spear-nosed bat)
Lineage: Eukaryota; Metazoa; Chordata; Mammalia; Chiroptera; Phyllostomidae
Exons: 4
Source: RefSeq, a predicted model, not a curated record
CAGGACCGGACAACAGCUCAUUUUUCUCUGACCAGACAGCACCGGUCCCAGGAGGUCCUGAGUCUGCAGUCUGCUUAGAAGAGAGACUAGUUCGGUUUAUUCCGCUCCCCUUAGCAAGAGUUUUACUGACAAGUCUUCGCUUUUUUGCACGAGAUGGCUGUAUACGUAGAAUAUCACAUAUACAAGUAACAGAACGUAAAAGAAGAAGUUUGACCGCUGAUACUCUCCCAGGAGGCAGUGAGAUCUGGACGCUUGAUUCAAUCCCGGUUCAUCUUUGGAGACGGGAUAGAAGCCUCCACCGGUGGACCUGUGUUGUAGGUCCGCUUGCCUCAGGAAAUGUGUGAUGAAGCUCAGCUUUGGGACCGGAGAGACGCGGGUUGGCGACAGUUGCUGAUGCACAGGGCUGUUGCUGAAACCGAAGCUUGUG